AAUGAACGCUGGCGGCGCGCCUAAUACAUGCAAGUCGAGCGAGAAGACGUAGCAAUACGUUUGUAAAGCGGCGAACGGGUGAGGAAUACAUGGGUAACCUACCCUCGAGUGGGGAAUAACUAGCCGAAAGGUUAGCUAAUACCGCGUACGCUUCUUGGACUUCGGUUCAGGGAGGAAAGCGAUGCCGAGGGUAUCGCGCUCUUGGAUGGGCUCAUGUCCUAUCAGCCUGUUGGGAGGUAACGGCUCACCAAGGCUUCGACGAGUAGCUGGUCUGAGAGGACGAUCAGCCACACUGGCACUGCGACACGGGCCAGACUCCUACGGGAGGCAGCAGUAAGGAAUAUUGCGCAAUGGGCGAAAAGCCUGACGCAGCGACGCCGCGUGGGGGA
Molecule: ribosomal RNA, 389 nt
Filed under: uncultured bacterium
Lineage: Bacteria
Description: bacterial SSU rRNA
Rfam family: Bacterial small subunit ribosomal RNA
Source: RNAcentral